This 406-nucleotide ribosomal RNA is filed under the name uncultured bacterium. RNAcentral describes it as "partial 16S ribosomal RNA". It matches the Rfam family "Bacterial small subunit ribosomal RNA", at positions 30 to 526 of the family's 1533-position model. The record is from RNAcentral.
AUUGAACGCUGGCGGCAGGCCUAACACAUGCAAGUCGAACGAGUGGCGGACGGGUGAGUAAUGUCUGGGAAACUGCCCGAUGGAGGGGGAUAACUACUGGAAACGGUAGCUAAUACCGCAUACCAUCGGAUGUGCCCAGCUGGGAUUGGCUAGUAGGGGGGGUAACGGCUCACCUAGGCGACGAUCCCUAUCUGGUCUGAGAGGAUGACCAGCCAAACUGGAACUGAGACACGGGCCAGACUCCGACGGGAGGAAGCAGUGGGGAAUAUUGACCAAUGGGCGCAAGCCUGAUGCAGCCAUGCCGCGUGUAUGAAGAAGGCCUUCGGGUUGUAAAGUACUGUCAGCGAGGAGGCGUUACUCGAAGAAGAAGCAUCGGCUAACUCCGUGCCAGCAGCCGCGGUAAUUC